UAGGGAAUAUUGGACAAUGGGGGAAACCCUGAUCCAGCAACGCCGCGUGGGUGAUGAAGCAUCUUGGUGUGUAAAACCCUGUCAGUGGGGACGAAACGUCGGAAGAGGAAAUGAUUCCGGCCUGACUGUACCCGCAGAGGAAGUUCCGGCCAACUCCGUGCCAGCAGCCGCGGUAAUACGGGGGGAACGAGCGUUGUUCGGAUUUACUGGGCGUAAAGGGCACGCAGGCGGGAAGACAAGUCAGAUGUGAAACCCCGAAGCUUAACUCCGGGCCUGCAUUUGAAACUGUCUUUCUUGAGUACGGGAGAGGAUGAUAGAAUUCUUGGUGUAGCGGUGAAAUGCGUAGAUAUCAAGAGGAAUACCGGUGGCGAAGGCGGUCAUCUGGCCCGAUACUGACGCUCAGGUGCGAAGGCCGGGGGAGCAAACAGG
RNAcentral lists this ribosomal RNA (429 nucleotides) under uncultured bacterium. RNAcentral's name for it is "bacterial SSU rRNA". It matches the Rfam family "Bacterial small subunit ribosomal RNA", at positions 355 to 776 of the family's 1533-position model. The record is from RNAcentral.